RNAcentral lists this long non-coding RNA (1209 nucleotides) under Bos indicus x Bos taurus (hybrid cattle). RNAcentral describes it as "lncRNA (ENSBIXG00000006901.1)". Lineage: Eukaryota; Metazoa; Chordata; Mammalia; Artiodactyla; Bovidae. The record is from RNAcentral.
GAGGAUUGAGAUUUGUUUGAUAAGUGGCAAGUGCCAGACUCCUUAAGAAGGAGCCUGCAAUGAGAGGCUGGGGCACCUGGGGCAUUCAGCUGUUUCUCAUCCAGGAUUCUCCUGCUGGUCUCUACAGAAAUCUCAAGAGAUCACGCGAGCUCACGCUUCCUCGGCCUGGUUCCACUGUCCUCUGAGUAGCCCCAGAUACUCAGGGCUUCCCAACCCAUCUUCUCCUUGCCCCUCCAUCAGGACCCACACUUACCUCCCUUCACCCACUGAAACCACCAAAGCACACGCUGGGGGCUCCAGCUGCACCCUUCCUGGAAAACCCUGAACUCUACCCACGCAGACCAGGCCCCAGGCCCCAGCCUGCCUCUACCCACGGGUGGUUUGAGUGGAUGUAGAGCAGCAUUUGGAGCCUGAGAGGCUCAGCUCUGCAGGAAGAGGGGAAGGAGGAAGACUGCGGGAGUCUGGUGACGGAAGGCGGUCAGAGCUAACAGCACCGGAUAUUAUCAGAAUUUACCGAGUAUCCUUUGAGAACUGGAAGCAGCUACACUCCAUGCAUUCAGUCUCCUGAUUCUCGGUGAAGAACAAGAGGAUCCAGUAUUGUGUAGAGGUCCUUCUUUGUCAUCUGAUGAUGGGAUGAUGGCUGUUUUGGUGAUGACUUUCCAAAACUGUGUUAGUACUUGUAGUCAAAACUCUGAAUUUCCAUCCUGAAUGGCAAAGAGAUCGUCAGGGCUAUACUUCUGUUUAAGUCAUCUGUACUCAACACUGAAAAUGAGACACGGUAUUUACAUCACUUCACUUGUCUUUGCUGGACAGAGGAGCCUGGCGGGACUACAGUUCAUGGGAUCACGAAAAAGUCGGACAUGACUUGGCGACUAAAACAAUAACAAUUUGUAUUUACUAGUAUAUUUCUAUUACUAAAUAUCACCAUACUCAUAUGAUUUACCUUCAUAGAAUGACGAUCAGAAAGACAAGAACAAUCAGGAAAGUUAUAGUAUCAGGAUGACCUAUCUUCCCAUAUGGUGGACACAAAUUGAUGUUUUAGAUUAAUAUAUGCAAAAAACAAUCUAUUUGCUUUGGAAAAUGGUCAGUAGACAUCAUUCUCUACUCCCUUAAAACCUUGAGCAUUUAACUUAAAAAAUACAUUUCUUUUACUUACAAAAAAACAUUUGAUUCUAAAACAUUUGUCAAUAAAGGAGUUUCUUAAUAGCA